AAAUGUCAGUGAUGUUUUUUUUACCUACAUUGUUUGAUUAUCUAAAUGAAAAACAUCUUAGACUGAGACAUUC
Molecule: small nucleolar RNA, 73 nt
Organism: Xenopus tropicalis (tropical clawed frog)
Lineage: Eukaryota; Metazoa; Chordata; Amphibia; Anura; Pipidae
Gene: SNORD34
Rfam family: Small nucleolar RNA SNORD34
About the family: snoRNA U34 is found in intron 5 of the ribosomal protein L13a gene in humans. U34 is a member of the C/D class of snoRNA which contain C (UGAUGA) and D (CUGA) box motifs, and functions in directing site-specific 2'-O-methylation of 25S rRNAs. Although the selection of the target nucleotide requires the antisense element and the conserved box D or D' of the snoRNA, the methyltransferase activity is thought to reside in one of the protein components.
Source: Ensembl